Molecule: ribosomal RNA, 422 nt
Filed under: uncultured Enterobacteriaceae bacterium
Lineage: Bacteria; Pseudomonadati; Pseudomonadota; Gammaproteobacteria; Enterobacterales; Enterobacteriaceae
Description: bacterial SSU rRNA
Rfam family: Bacterial small subunit ribosomal RNA
Source: RNAcentral
UCGGCUUAGAGUUUGAUCAUGGCUCAGAUUGAACGCUGGCGGCAGGCUUAACACAUGCAAGUCGAACGGUAGAAGAGCUUGCUCUUGACGAGUGGCGGACGGGUGAGUAAUGUAUGGGGAUCUGCCAAAUGGAAGGGGACAACAGUUGGAAACGACUGCUAAUACCGUAUAAUGUCGCGAGACCAAAGUGUUUCGACAUGCCAUUUGAUGAACCCAUAUGGGAUUAGCUAGUAGGUAGGGUAAAGGCCUACCUAGGCGACGAUCUCUAGCUGGUCUGAGAGGAUGACCAGCCACACUGGAACUGAGACACGGUCCAGACUCCUACGGGAGGCAGCAGUGGGGAAUAUUGCACAAUGGGGGAAACCCUGAUGCAGCCAUGCCGCGUGUAUGAAGAAGGCCUUAGGGUUGUAAAGUACUUUCGG